This 73-nucleotide transfer RNA is filed under the name Camelus bactrianus (Bactrian camel). It matches the Rfam family "tRNA". From Rfam's summary of the family: Transfer RNA (tRNA) molecules are approximately 80 nucleotides in length. Their secondary structure includes four short double-helical elements and three loops (D, anti-codon, and T loops). Further hydrogen bonds mediate the characteristic L-shaped molecular structure. tRNAs have two regions of fundamental functional importance: the anti-codon, which is responsible for specific mRNA codon recognition, and the 3' end, to which the tRNAs corresponding amino acid is attached (by aminoacyl-tRNA synthetases). tRNAs cope with the degeneracy of the genetic code in two manners: having more than one tRNA (with a specific anti-codon) for a particular amino acid; and 'wobble' base-pairing, i.e. permitting non-standard base-pairing at the 3rd anti-codon position. Lineage: Eukaryota; Metazoa; Chordata; Mammalia; Artiodactyla; Camelidae. RNAcentral also lists the same sequence under 2 other names. The record is from Rfam by way of RNAcentral.
GAGGGUAUAGCUCAAGUGGUGGAGCACAUGCUUGACCUGCACGAGGUCCCAGGUUCAAUCCCCAGUACCUUCU